This 484-nucleotide ribosomal RNA is filed under the name uncultured bacterium. RNAcentral describes it as "partial 16S ribosomal RNA". It matches the Rfam family "Bacterial small subunit ribosomal RNA", at positions 30 to 507 of the family's 1533-position model. The record is from RNAcentral.
AUUGAACGCUGGCGGCAGGCCUAACACAUGCGAGUCGAGCGGAUGAAGGGAGCUUGCUCCUGGAUUCAGCGGCGGACGGGUGAGUAAUGCCUAGGAAUCUGCCUGGUAGUGGGGGAUAACGUCCGGAAACGGGCGCUAAUACCGCAUACGUCCUGAGGGAGAAAGUGGGGGAUCUUCGGACCUCACGCUCUCAGAUGAGCCUAGGUCGGAUUAGCUAGUUGGUGGGGUAAAGGCCUACCAAGGCGACGAUCCGUAACUGGUCUGAGAGGAUGAUCAGUCACACUGGAACUGAGACACGGUCCAGACUCCUACGGGAGGCAGCAGUGGGGAAUAUUGGACAAUGGGCGAAAGCCUGAUCCAGCCAUGCCGCGUGUGUGAAGAAGGUCUUCGGAUUGUAAAGCACUUUAAGUUGGGAGGAAGGGCAGUAAGUUAAUACCUUGCUGUUUUGACGUUACCAACAGAAUAAGCACCGGCUAACUUCGUG